Molecule: ribosomal RNA, 1490 nt
Filed under: Escherichia coli P0302308.1
Lineage: Bacteria; Pseudomonadati; Pseudomonadota; Gammaproteobacteria; Enterobacterales; Enterobacteriaceae
Description: bacterial LSU rRNA
Rfam family: Bacterial large subunit ribosomal RNA
Source: RNAcentral
UUAAGCGACUAAGCGUACACGGUGGAUGCCCUGGCAGUCAGAGGCGAUGAAGGACGUGCUAAUCUGCGAUAAGCGUCGGUAAGGUGAUAUGAACCGUUAUAACCGGCGAUUUCCGAAUGGGGAAACCCAGUGUGAUUCGUCACACUAUCAUUAACUGAAUCCAUAGGUUAAUGAGGCGAACCGGGGGAACUGAAACAUCUAAGUACCCCGAGGAAAAGAAAUCAACCGAGAUUCCCCCAGUAGCGGCGAGCGAACGGGGAGCAGCCCAGAGCCUGAAUCAGUGUGUGUGUUAGUGGAAGCGUCUGGAAAGGCGCGCGAUACAGGGUGACAGCCCCGUACACAAAAAUGCACAUGCUGUGAGCUCGAUGAGUAGGGCGGGACACGUGGUAUCCUGUCUGAAUAUGGGGGGACCAUCCUCCAAGGCUAAAUACUCCUGACUGACCGAUAGUGAACCAGUACCGUGAGGGAAAGGCGAAAAGAACCCCGGCGAGGGGAGUGAAAAAGAACCUGAAACCGUGUACGUACAAGCAGUGGGAGCACGCUUAGGCGUGUGACUGCGUACCUUUUGUAUAAUGGGUCAGCGACUUAUAUUCUGUAGCAAGGUUAACCGAAUAGGGGAGCCGAAGGGAAACCGAGUCUUAACUGGGCGUUAAGUUGCAGGGUAUAGACCCGAAACCCGGUGAUCUAGCCAUGGGCAGGUUGAAGGUUGGGUAACACUAACUGGAGGACCGAACCGACUAAUGUUGAAAAAUUAGCGGAUGACUUGUGGCUGGGGGUGAAAGGCCAAUCAAACCGGGAGAUAGCUGGUUCUCCCCGAAAGCUAUUUAGGUAGCGCCUCGUGAAUUCAUCUCCGGGGGUAGAGCACUGUUUCGGCAAGGGGGUCAUCCCGACUUACCAACCCGAUGCAAACUACGAAUACCGGAGAAUGUUAUCACGGGAGACACACGGCGGGUGCUAACGUCCGUCGUGAAGAGGGAAACAACCCAGACCGCCAGCUAAGGUCCCAAAGUCAUGGUUAAGUGGGAAACGAUGUGGGAAGGCCCAGACAGCCAGGAUGUUGGCUUAGAAGCAGCCAUCAUUUAAAGAAAGCGUAAUAGCUCACUGGUCGAGUCGGCCUGCGCGGAAGAUGUAACGGGGCUAAACCAUGCACCGAAGCUGCGGCAGCGACGCUGAUGCGUUGUUGGGUAGGGGAGCGUUCUGUAAGCCUGCGAAGGUGUGCUGUGAGGCAUGCUGGAUGUAUCAGAAGUGCGAAUGCUGACAUAAGUAACGAUAAAGCGGGUGAAAAGCCCGCUCGCCGGAAGACCAAGGGUUCCUGUCCAACGUUAAUCGGGGCAGGGUGAGUCGACCCCUAAGGCGAGGCCGAAAGGCGUAGUCGAUGGGAAACAGGUUAAUAUUCCUGUACUUGGUGUUACUGCGAAGGGGGGACGGAGAAGGCUAUGUUGGCCGUGCGACGGUUGUCCCGGUUUAAGCGUGUAGGCUGGUUUUCCAGG